Molecule: ribosomal RNA, 301 nt
Filed under: uncultured bacterium
Lineage: Bacteria
Description: partial 16S ribosomal RNA
Rfam family: Bacterial small subunit ribosomal RNA
Source: RNAcentral
CAGUAGCCGCGGUAAUACGGAGGGAGCUAGCGUUAUUCGGAAUUACUGGGCGUAAAGCGCACGUAGGCGGCUUUGUAAGUAAGAGGUGAAAGCCCGGAGCUCAACUCCGGAACUGCCUUUUAGACUGCAUCGCUUGAAUCCAGGAGAGGUGAGUGGAAUUCCGAGUGUAGAGGUGAAAUUCGUAGAUAUUCGGAAGAACACCAGUGGCGAAGGCGGCUCACUGGACUGGUAUUGACGCUGAGGUGCGAAAGCGUGGGGAGCAAACAGGAUUAGAUACCCGAGUAGUCCCUGUCUCUUAUAC